CCAACAAGGGGCCUCUCCUGCACAGCGCUAGAAAAUAACACCAGUGGAGUGACAUUUGCCCGAAGAGAGAGAGACACUACAACUGAAGCAUUACCUGGAAAGAGAAGCAGUGUUCUGGAAAUGAAAUAAUCUAGCUUAUUUCCUCCAUUCCUUAGCAUUUGACACCCUCCUGUAUCUAUUGCAUUCACAGCUUUUUAACUCAAGGAAAUUACAUAAGGAAAUACUGGAGGUACCUUAUGCUUGCCUGAUAUGCCAGAAGAUGGCAGAAGGGAAGUGUUUUGGUAAUAGCCUCAAAUCCUGAUUGUCAAGAUGAGAUUUCAGACGGAUCAAAAAUUCAUUCUGCCUGUUGAUGUCUGUUGCCAAGAUCAGGGAGCCCAACUGCUGCUCAAUGUCCUGUCUGCAAUGAAGCAGCGUGUGCACCAUUACGUGGUCGUGGGACACCACCACAUGAGCGCUGGAAGCUGCAUGUGAUCUUGCCUAAAGCACCCUCCUAGACACGAUCAAAUUAAUCAAAUGGAAAGCCAACGGACACAUCUCCCAUGGCGCUCACUGCCAGCACGAGCAGUGCCAAAGGAAGUCCAAGCCUUCUGUUUGUUUCCAGCCGCAUCUGGAGGUACAGCGGGUAAUCUCUUAAACUUCUGGUAUAAGUUUUGGAAAAAAGAGACAACAGAAACUGGACGGUUGGUCGAAAGUAACAAGAUACAACACAGUUUUAUUUGUAAGACAAACCUUGUAAGAAACUGAAGAUUGAAGAUUAAACAGUCCUUUGAGAGAACAGUAAUGGUUUCUUGAGAUAAGAAGCUCCACAGCAAUUCACUGGAUUUCAGGUUUAAGUAAGAGCUCACAAAAAAUAUCUAGACACUGAAGCUAACUCUCUGUUCUCUUUUUUCCCCAACACUUUUUAUGAAAAAACACUAAAUGUUUGUUCUACUGUGAAAUUAAAAUAGCACUUUGUCUGCUGUUUCUAUGGGUGGUAUUAUUCUGAGAGGAUUUUCAGAGAAGUCACUAAGGUUUUUUUGGAUCAUGGAUGGUUCAGGAUUUGAUUUCUCUACAGCAGAUGUGCAAGCACCCUCUGUAGCAAGUUUCUUCCUUAUUAAGUAAUCCAACAGCUACUGAGUGGCACAAAGUCAGUAAUAACAUCCCAAAAAAGCCAUCUUUACGUACUGAGGAUCAAUAUAACUUCCAACAUCAGUAAGCCUCAUGGUUCUUAUGCACAGUCCAAAGACCUCACUGAGUCUUAAUAAUAUAAAAGCACAAAAUAACUUCAUUGCAUCUUGACAAGCCAUGUGGUUUCCAGAAUGAAAACAGUAACAACACCACUACUGUACUAGCCUGAGGGUCAGGUUUUCAUUUAUGAUGUGCCAGCACCUGCCUUGAUUUUCUCACACAUUUUAAAAGCUGAAACAAUUUCAUGGCCUGUUGAAGGAGUGACUAAUGUAGGUGUGAACAGUUACCCAGUGGCAGCAACAUGUGGAAGAACCAGUAGACUUGCUUUCUUAUUUCUUUUCAUUUAUAUAGGGCUGCUA
Molecule: long non-coding RNA, 1526 nt
Organism: Vidua chalybeata
Lineage: Eukaryota; Metazoa; Chordata; Aves; Passeriformes; Viduidae
Exons: 4
Source: RefSeq, a predicted model, not a curated record